AUUGACACUUUUGUGAGUAG
This 20-nucleotide microRNA is filed under the name Callithrix jacchus (white-tufted-ear marmoset). RNAcentral's name for it is "cja-miR-514a". Its record names the gene cja-miR-514a. RNAcentral also lists the same sequence under 1 other name. The record is from miRBase by way of RNAcentral. Lineage: Eukaryota; Metazoa; Chordata; Mammalia; Primates; Cebidae.